GCGGUUGUGGCGAAGUGGUUAACGCCCCGGAUUGUGGCUCCGGUAUUCGCGGGUUCGAUUCCCGUCAAUCGCC
Molecule: transfer RNA, 73 nt
Filed under: Carnobacteriaceae bacterium zg-C25
Lineage: Bacteria; Bacillati; Bacillota; Bacilli; Lactobacillales; Carnobacteriaceae
Also listed under: 2 other names
Rfam family: tRNA
About the family: Transfer RNA (tRNA) molecules are approximately 80 nucleotides in length. Their secondary structure includes four short double-helical elements and three loops (D, anti-codon, and T loops). Further hydrogen bonds mediate the characteristic L-shaped molecular structure. tRNAs have two regions of fundamental functional importance: the anti-codon, which is responsible for specific mRNA codon recognition, and the 3' end, to which the tRNAs corresponding amino acid is attached (by aminoacyl-tRNA synthetases). tRNAs cope with the degeneracy of the genetic code in two manners: having more than one tRNA (with a specific anti-codon) for a particular amino acid; and 'wobble' base-pairing, i.e. permitting non-standard base-pairing at the 3rd anti-codon position.
Source: Rfam by way of RNAcentral